AUCCAGCUGACGAGUCCCAAAAUAGGACGAAAAGCGCGUCCUGGAU
Molecule: non-coding RNA, 46 nt
Filed under: Schistosoma mansoni
Lineage: Eukaryota; Metazoa; Platyhelminthes; Trematoda; Strigeidida; Schistosomatidae
Source: RNAcentral